GACGAACGCUGGCGGCGUGCCUAAUACAUGCAAGUAGAACGCUGAAGAGAGGAGCUUGCUCUUCUUGGAUGAGUUGCGAACGGGUGAGUAACGCGUAGGUAACCUGCCUUGUAGCGGGGGAUAACUAUUGGAAACGAUAGCUAAUACCGCAUAACAAUAGGUGACACAUGUCAUUUAUUUGAAAGGGGCAAUUGCUCCACUACAAGAUGGACCUGCGUUGUAUUAGCUAGUAGGUGAGGUAACGGCUCACCUAGGCGACGGUACAUAGCCGACCUGAGAGGGUGAUCGGCCACACUGGGACUGAGACACGGCCCAGACUCCUACGGGAGGCAGCAGGAGGGAAUCUUCGGCAAUGGGGGCAACCCUGACCGAGCAACGCCGCGUGAGUGAAGAAGGUUUUCGGAUCGUAAAGCUCUGUUGUAAGUCAAGAACGAGUGUGAGAGUGGAAAGUUCACACUGUGACGGUAGCUUACCAGAAAGGGACGGCUAACUACGUG
RNAcentral lists this ribosomal RNA (497 nucleotides) under uncultured bacterium. Its description in RNAcentral is "partial 16S ribosomal RNA". It matches the Rfam family "Bacterial small subunit ribosomal RNA", at positions 28 to 507 of the family's 1533-position model. The record is from RNAcentral.